Molecule: ribosomal RNA, 253 nt
Filed under: uncultured bacterium
Lineage: Bacteria
Description: partial 16S ribosomal RNA
Rfam family: Bacterial small subunit ribosomal RNA
Source: RNAcentral
UACAGAGGGUGCGAGCGUUAAUCGGAAUUACUGGGCGUAAAGCGUGCGUAGACGGUUACGUAAGUCGGAUGUGAAAGCCCCGGGCUCAACCUGGGAAUUGCAUUCGAGACUGCGUAGCUAGGAUGCGGAAGAGGGAAGCGGAAUUUCCGGUGUAGCGGUGAAAUGUGUAGAUAUCGGAAGGAACACCAGUGGCGAAAGCGGCUUCCUGGUCCAGCAUCGACGUUCAGGCACGAAAGCGUGGGGAGCAAACAGG